Molecule: long non-coding RNA, 2921 nt
Filed under: Mus musculus (house mouse)
Lineage: Eukaryota; Metazoa; Chordata; Mammalia; Rodentia; Muridae
Description: long non-coding RNA chr17:44093556-44096477
Source: RNAcentral
UAGAUAUGAUCAUGCUUCACUAUAGAAAACAUUUUAAUACCUAUAUUUAUUCCAUGACACAGUGCAGUAUAUAUGCAAACUAAAAAUCACUCUAAAAAUAAAUUAAGUCAAGAAAUCAUUCCAUUGUAUUUUUCUCAAUGUCUAAUAACUCCCUAGAAAAUUAUCCAUUUCAUUUGUACAUACAAAUUUAGUUGUACCAAAGAACAUAGAUUUCUGAUUAAAUGAUAUACGGAAACAUCUGUACUUGUUCAGUCCCCACCCCUGGCCUGCCCCAUGAUGAGGCCAGAUCCUCAGCCUCACAAUUUUUUCUAGAAUACUCAGACGCCAUUGGGUGCUCACAUGUACAUAGUUCUUCAUUUUCAGCCUCAGCCUGUGGAUUCUUCACUUCCUCUGAACAUCUUUAAACCUUGAGCACUACCUUUCUGGUUUUUUUCUCCAAUUCUCCAGUCUUUAGCAGGAUGGCUGUUUGAGUCACACAGUUUACCAUUAGGAGAAUAAACUUCUCCUUGUCUUUUCACAUAUUAAAGCAAAAGCAGAGGAAGCAGUAAGGCAAGGCACAAGGACAGCACCUUUGUCACACGAAGUUUGAAUGAAAAAAAAAACAUCAUUUGAUUUCUUCAGCAUAAUCAGGAGUCCUGUUUGAUCUGGGCCUAUAAAAAGAAUGUCCUCUGCAGCUUAGAUUGCAGUGUUCUCUCAAUGACACGUAAGUCACACCACACCUGAGUUGACAUCCCCAGGUUUAUUUGGGGAUGGGGGGCGUGGUGGAAGGGGUGGUUUUAGUCUAACCAAUUAGCGAGGAGUGCUAAACUCUUCAAGUAUGUUUAUGGAUAAUUUCUGGAUUUGUUUCGGAGCUAAUUAUCCACAGUCUUUAUGAAAGUGAGGUUAAGCAUGGUGGCCAUGAAACAUACACUAACUAGAGGACUGGCCAUGAGGCUGUCACACUGGAAGGGGUGGACAAGGACCUAAGCUAUUCUUUAAUUCCUUUUUUACAAGAUGGAAGCAUAACUGGGUGGGAUCUUGCCUUGAGGUCACGGCUCCAUUUAUCAUUUAAUGUCUUUAAUCUGUUUAUCUCCUUGAACAUGAAAUUUAGCUCAAUUCUGCUUCCUGGUGCCCCUUUUCUCCUUGAUCUCUACAUUUUGUAUUUUUCCUUGCUCAGCGUGCUUCUUCUCAGCAGUACACGCUUCAUAAGGGUAAACAUUAGUAACCACAAAAUGGAGUCUAAACUAGGCUGUUUUGAGAUUUCCUUUACCAAUGCAAUUAAUUCAAAAUUCCUCACUUUGGCCUCAGGCAGAAUUUUUGGACAAUGGCAAAAUGCAGGCAAAUUCUUUGCCAAACUAUCACAAGAAUAGUCUCUAGGCCAUUAAUAGUCUUCUCUAAAACCUCCUGGGUCAGGCGCUCUACAGUUCAAAUCACUGUCAGCACCACUUUCUUCCAUGUUCCUAUUAGAUGGCCCAUUAAACACCACUUAAUGUGUGCAAAUGCUUUUCUAACCCAAAAUCCAAGGACCCACAUUCUUCCAAACAAAAGCAUGCUCAGGCCUUUCACAGCAAUAUCACAGUUCCUGGUACCAACUUUUGUCUUAGGGUUUCUAUUGCUAUGACCACAUUGCAUUAUGACCACAGCAACUUUUAUAAAGAAAAACAUUUAAUUGGGACUGGCUUGAGGUCUAGUCUAUUAUUGCCAUGGCAAGAAACAAGGCAGUAUGCAGAUAGACACAGCCCUGGAGAAGGAGUUGAGAGUUCCUACAUCUUGAUCCGCAAGCAGCAGGAGACUGUGUGUCACACUGGGCAAAGCCUGAGCUUAUGAGACCUCAAAGCUGUCCCCAACUGUGGCAUACGUCCUCUAACAAGGUAACAUCUUCUAAUAGUCCCACUCCCUAUGGGCCCACAGGUAGGCAGAAGGCCUGAGUAGCAGUCCAGUGUGUGCCUGCCAAACAGUUCUACCUCUGGGACGUGAGUGAGAGCAGUUCCACGUUGACACUGAUAAUCACUACACUCACAAACGUUAGAAUACAAACCAUCAUCUUGUAUGACAGCACCGCAGGACCCAAAUGGAUCUUUGGACUUUCACAUAGUCUCUCAAGCAAUGCCUGGGGUAUGUGCUGGGAGAAGGACAGUAUAGCGAUACACAACACUAGGUAAAGAAAGUGGCAAAGCGUCAUCUAAGCUCUAGAAGUGGAGGGCCUAGGAAAUUAUUCUGGCUCCGUGAAACUCAACAGCAAGAGCUAAACUGCAGGUAGAUGUGUGUCAUCUAUUCAUAUGAAUGUUCCCAAUUUUUAAAGACCUCUCUUUCAGAGUAAAGAACAAAUAGUUUUCUUAGUUCCUACCAGUGUUUGGUUAAUUUAAAAAUACUGACUGACUGAAUGCUCUCCUAGAGAGAAUGUAGUUGAAUCCAUAGGCUUUUGGUAAGUCACUAAAGGUCUAUAGUUCUGCAAAAGACAAAGUUUAAAUACUCUAACCACACCCACUGUUCAGUAAUCAGUUUAUAGUCUCUUCCCUUUUACUCUAAGCCAUUAAUCUUAGUUCAAGAGGUUGUGCAAAUUUACUCUGGGUUUCUUGCCAAUGAUGCCUUCAUACUAUAUGUAUUUUAUAUAUUGUUUUAAAAAUUGGUUGUUAUAUACCUUUAAUCCUGGUUUUAAAAAAGAUCUGUAAUGAAUGUCUGUAAAGGUCUUUAUAGAACCACUCAAGUCAUGAACAUUCAGUUUUCACAGUAUGUACAUUUUGUAAGUUGACAAAUUAAGAAGGCUGAUAUAUUUGUUUGGGUAGACUUUAUUUACAUACAUUUUAAUCAUAAGCAAAGUCAUUAUCUACAAGUUGAAACAAUGUACUCCCUUUAACUUAAGGCACUGCAAACUUCCUUAUAGCACACUCACUAUAUUUACAUGCUGUUUGAGAACUGACAAUAAAUACAUACUCUACACC